This 458-nucleotide ribosomal RNA is filed under the name uncultured bacterium. RNAcentral's name for it is "partial 16S ribosomal RNA". It matches the Rfam family "Bacterial small subunit ribosomal RNA", at positions 29 to 507 of the family's 1533-position model. The record is from RNAcentral.
AACGAACGCUGGCGGCAUGCCUAACACAUGCCAGUCGAACGAGACCUUCGGGUCUAGUGGCGCACGGGUGCGUAACGCGUGGGAACCUGCCCUUAGGUUCGGAAUAACUCCCCGAAAGGGGUGCUAAUACCGGAUAAUGUCUUCGGACCAAAGAUUUAUCGCACUUGGAUGGGCCCGCGUUGGAUUAGCUAGUUGGUAAGGUAAUAGCCUACAAAGGCGGCGAUCCAUAGCUGGUCUGAGAGGAUGAUCAGCCACACUGGGACUGAGACACGGCCGAGACGCGUAAGGGAGGCAGCAGUAGGGAAUCAUACGCAAGGGGGGAAAGGGGGAUGGAGGAAAGUAGCGUGAGGGAUGAAGGUCUUAGGAUCGGAAAACUAUGUUAGUAGGGAAGAACAUAUGUGUAUGUAACUGGGCAGAUCGUGACGGUACAUAAUCAGAAAGCCACGGCUAACUACGUG